Long non-coding RNA from Heterocephalus glaber (naked mole-rat), 322 nucleotides. RefSeq lists it as uncharacterized. The record is from RefSeq and is a predicted model, not a curated record. Lineage: Eukaryota; Metazoa; Chordata; Mammalia; Rodentia; Bathyergidae.
UUCUAGAAUUUCUGAAAGCACCACCACAAGGCAGCUGACAUUUUUAUUUUACAGAUGGGCAAGCUGAGGUUCAUGGAGGGAAGAACUUGUCUGAGGUAUCAGAGCGUGGCUCUGUCGAAGAAAAUGUUUGUGUGAGAAUGAGUUGGGGCAUGCAGACCUGAGCUGCCCCAGGCUGCUCCAGCCAAGACUGAUCCAGUGCAGCAGACAUGCAGAUGCAGAAGCCAGUUCUAGGCACAAUCAGUGGAACUGCCCACCCAAGAUGAGCCAAGCCCCAUAUCAUCCCACAGCUAUAGGAGCUCAAUAAAUGCUAUUGCUGCAAACA